RNAcentral lists this ribosomal RNA (480 nucleotides) under uncultured bacterium. RNAcentral's name for it is "partial 16S ribosomal RNA". It matches the Rfam family "Bacterial small subunit ribosomal RNA", at positions 28 to 507 of the family's 1533-position model. The record is from RNAcentral.
GAUGAACGCUAGCGGCAGGCCUAACACAUGCAAGUCGAGGGGUAGAAGGAGCUUGCUCCUUUGAGACCGGCGCACGGGUGCGUAACGCGUAUGCAAUCUACCUUGUACAGGGGAAUAGCCCAGAGAAAUUUGGAUUAAUGCCCCAUAGUAUAUAACCUUCGCAUGUUGGUUAUAUUAAAGUUCCAACGGUACAAGAUGAGCAUGCGUCCCAUUAGUUAGUUGGUAAGGUAACGGCUUACCAAGACGAUGAUGGGUAGGGGUCCUGAGAGGGAGAUCCCCCACACUGGUACUGAGACACGGACCAGACUCCUACGGGAGGCAGCAGUGAGGAAUAGUGGUCAAUGGUCGCAAGACUGAACCAGCCAUGCCGCGUGCAGGAAGACGGUCCUAUGGAUUGUAAACUGCUUUUAUACAGGAAGAAACCCUCCCACGUGUGGGAGCUUGACGGUACUGUAGGAAUAAGGAUCGGCUAACUCCGUG